Molecule: ribosomal RNA, 450 nt
Filed under: uncultured bacterium
Lineage: Bacteria
Description: partial 16S ribosomal RNA
Rfam family: Bacterial small subunit ribosomal RNA
Source: RNAcentral
GUGGGGAAUAUUGGACAAUGGGCGAAAGCCUGAUCCAGCCAUGCCGCGUGUGUGAAGAAGGUCUUCGGAUUGUAAAGCACUUUAAGUUGGGAGGAAGGGCAGUAAGUUAAUACCUUGCUGUUUUGACGUUACCGACAGAAUAAGCACCGGCUAACUUCGUGCCAGCAGCCGCGGUAAUACGAAGGGUGCAAGCGUUAAUCGGAAUUACUGGGCGUAAAGCGCGCGUAGGUGGUUUUGUAAGUUGGAGGUGAAAUCCCCGGGCUCAACCUGGGAACUGCAUCCAAAACUGCAUGACUAGAGUACGGUAGAGGGGAGUGGAAUUUCCUGUGUAGCGGUGAAAUGCGUAGAUAUAGGAAGGAACACCAGUGGCGAAGGCGACUACCUGGACUGAUACUGACACUGAGGUGCGAAAGCGUGGGGAGCAAACAGGAUUAGAUACCCCGGUAGUCC